Molecule: long non-coding RNA, 1502 nt
Organism: Eriocheir sinensis (Chinese mitten crab)
Lineage: Eukaryota; Metazoa; Arthropoda; Malacostraca; Decapoda; Varunidae
Exons: 4
Source: RefSeq, a predicted model, not a curated record
UUUCAUACGUUUAAGAGUGCGUAUAAGUUCUUCUUGGUGUGUGUGUGUUUUAUUUAGAUUUUUCCGAGAACUAUGGCACACACACACACACACACACACACACACACACACACACACACACACACACACACACACACACACACACACACACACACUUUCUUCCGCUAAAAAACAGUAGUUAUGCGGAACGUCUCAAGAGUAACAUAUUCUCUCUCUCUCUCUCUCUCUCUCUCUCUCUCUCUCUCUCUCUCUCUCUCUCCCCGUGCCACAGUGCCAUCAAUCACCUUUCCUCCCUCGACUGUGGCUCCUAUUCUCUCUCUCUCUCUCUCUCUCUCUCUCUCUCUCAAAAGCCCCCUCGUCUACUUUCUCUCCCUAUCUUCCCUUUCCCUUUUUUUCUACUUCCCUUCUCUUUCCUUUCACUCUGCCUAUCAACCCUAACCCAAGACUUUCAUUCCUCUUUUCCUUUUCCUAUAUUCCUUUCCUUCCUUUUCUUAGCUUCCGAUCUUCCCUUCAUCCAUCAUGCCCUAUCUAUAUAUCUAUCUUCUUUCCCUUGCUUUCUUUGAUUCUCUCCUCCAUGUCUACCUUCAGCUUUAUCUUCCUCCCCUUUCUCUCUUUUAUUUGCAUCUCUCUUCCCAUCUUUUCUAUUAAUUUUCCUACCCUUUGCCUCUUCCUUUUUUUAUUCCUCGCUCUUCCCAUCUCCCUCUAUUUUGUUUCCUCCCAGCCUCUCUUUCUGUUUCCUCUUCUCUUCCAUUUUCUCCCUUUCCUCUCUUCCUAUCUUCCCUUUCUCUCUCUUCGUGCCGUGUCUUAAGCCUAUUCACCUCCCUCCUCCUCCUCCUCCUACCUCUCAUCGCAACCUAAAUUACAGGUGAACGGACCCAAGUGAGGAAAGGUAGGAAGGAACUGACAGGUGAAGGUUGAAGGUCACACGGUUAGGUUAGGUAGAGUAAGGUGAGGUGAGGUGAGGUAAGGUUAUAUUAGGUGAGGUUAGGUUAGGUUAUGUGAGGUGAGGUUAGGUUAAGUUAGGUGCAGUAGGUUAGGCUAGGUAAAGUUCAGGGGCUAUUUUUUUAUGUAAGGUGAGGUGAGGUGAGGUUAGGUUAGGUUAGGUUAAGUGAGGUGAAGUAGGUUAGGCUAGGUAAAGUUAAGGGGCUAUUUUUUUAUGUAAGGUGAGGUUAGGUUAGGUUAGGUGAAGUAGGUUAGGCUAGGUAAAGUUAAGGGGCUAUUUUUUUAUGUAAGGUGAGGUUAGGUUAGGUUAGGUGAAGUAGGUUAGGCUAGGUAAAGUUAAGGGGCUAUUUCUUUAUGUAAGGUUAGGUUAGGUUAGGUUAGGUGAAGUAGGUUAGGCUAGGUAAAGUUAAGGGGCUAUUUUUUUAUGUAAGGUGAGGUUAGGUUAGGUUAGGUGAAGUAGGUUAGGCUAGGUAAAGUUAAGGGGUUAUUUUUUUAUGUAAGGUUAGGUUAGGUUAGGUGAAGUAGGUUAGGCUAGGUAAAGUUAAGGGGUUAUUUUUUUA